Molecule: long non-coding RNA, 591 nt
Filed under: Danio rerio (zebrafish)
Lineage: Eukaryota; Metazoa; Chordata; Actinopteri; Cypriniformes; Danionidae
Description: si:ch73-376g11.3 (ENSDARG00000097878.3)
Source: RNAcentral
GAAGCUGAAGGGCAUUAGUGCAGUGAUGAGGGACAAAAGCUUUCACAGGUGCAGGCUGGAGGAAGACCAACCCGCACAACAGCUCUCGCUACAGCUUUCAAGGAUGUCCUGUUGGGUUUUUUUCAAUACACCUGAUGAGAAAAUGUCUUACUAUCUCCAAGCAGUCCUGGACUCACCUUGAGCGGAUCUGCACAGAGACCACAGUAUGAAGGUAAACCUCAGUAUCAAGUGCAUGACAGAAACCACAGAAGCAGAUUCAGGGCUCCAGAUCCUCUUCACGAAUCCUCCUAAAAUGAGCGCGACGGAAAUAUGGACGACUUCCUGCCACUGUGUGGAGAAGAAUAGGAGUGAAUAUGUGUGUGUGCGAGUCUGAAAGGUCAGCUUUAUCGCAGGAGUUUGAGCUACCUUUGAGACUGUUUAUUGUGCGGCGCGAAUUGUGUCGAAGGAAAUUUGACAGGACAAUCGAACAAUGCCGCACAAAAAAGCCUUCACUUCCUUGUGUGCAAACUAGACAUAAUAUCUGAUUUUUAUUAUGCGUGCUAAAAUGUGUUUCUUUUCUUAGCAGUUUGUGUUGAAGAUUGACACUCACAC